UCCCUGAGAGCUCUCACUUCCAUAAUGAUGCCAAUGUCCAACUCAUCCAUGUAUUGUGGCAUGUAUACAUAUGACAAUAUGCACAGUAGCAAUACAUCUACUCUUGCCAAAUGCCAAUGAUCCUCUGACAUGGUAAAAUCUCCAGAAUGCCGUGUAUAGCUAUCCUCUGAGCUAAAUCUGUCCAUCAAAAAACGUUGGGAUACAACGUGGCCGGAUGUGAUCUCAUCCUGCAUAACUCUACGCCUCAGCCCGGUGAGGGUCAUAAACUAUCGGCUCAUGUCACCGAUAGCCAUCUGCACGCAAGGUCUGUCUAAGGGCAGCGACGUCAACUGUGCAUACUCCUCUAAGGUAAGAGUCAACUCAUCGAUACCAAACUGGAAAACCUGCCUCUCCGGUAUCUAAUGCUCCAGCAUACCCUCUAUAAAGCCUGCGGGAACCUGAAACAUCAGGAGAGUCAUAGUAUGUUGCAAUAACUGAUCUACAGUCACCCUAUCUGAAGGUAACAUACUAUCAUAC
RNAcentral lists this long non-coding RNA (516 nucleotides) under Panax ginseng (ginseng). Its description in RNAcentral is "long non-coding RNA (PGIN_LNC006169)". Lineage: Eukaryota; Viridiplantae; Streptophyta; Magnoliopsida; Apiales; Araliaceae. The record is from RNAcentral.